RNAcentral lists this ribosomal RNA (1925 nucleotides) under human gut metagenome. RNAcentral describes it as "bacterial LSU rRNA". It matches the Rfam family "Bacterial large subunit ribosomal RNA", at positions 3 to 1973 of the family's 2925-position model. The record is from RNAcentral.
UCAAGUGACUAAGUGUAUGUGGUGGAUGCCUUGGCGAUCAUAGGCGAUGAAGGACGUGUAAGCCUGCGAAAAGCUGCGGGGAGUCGGCAAAAAGACUUUGAUCCGCAGAUGUCCGAAUGAGGAAACUCACCGGGUAACCGGUAUCACAAACUGAAUACAUAGGUUUGUGAAGCGAACGCAGUGAACUGAAACAUCUAAGUAACUGCAGGAAAAGAAAUCAACCGAGAUUGCGGCAGUAGCGGCGAGCGAAACCGCAGCAGCCUAGUCUUUGAUAAUGCAUGGUGACAGCAGAACGGUCUGGAAAGGCCGGCCACAGUGGGUGACAGCCCCGUAUGCGAAGUCCGGUGCAUGGUACUAAAAAGACGAUAAGUAGGGCGGGACACGUGACAUCCUGUCCGAAGAUGGGGGGACCAUCCUCCAAGGCUAAAUACUCAUGAUCGACCGAUAGCGAACCAGUACUGUGAAGGAAAGGCGAAAAGAACCCCGGGAGGGGAGUGAAAUAGAACCUGAAACCGCAUACAUACAAACAGUAGGAGCCCUACGGGGUGACUGCGUACCUUUUGCAUAAUGGGUCAGCGACUUACGUUUUGCGGCAAGCUUAACCGAGUAGGGGAGGCGCAGCGAAAGCGAGUUCGAACAGAGCGAUAGAGUCGUAAGGCGUAGACCCGAAACCAGAUGAGCUAACCAUGGCCAGGUUGAAGGUGUGGUAACACACACUGGAGGACCGAACCGACCGGUGUUGCAAAACCGGCGGAUGAGCUGUGGUUAGGGGUGAAAGGCUUAACAAAUCUGGAGAUAGCUGGUUCUCCCCGAAAACUAUUGAGGUAGUGCCUCGUGACUGACUCCGGGGGGUAGAGCACUGUUAUGGCUAGGGGGACAUGGCGUCUUACCAAACCAUGGCAAACUCCGAAUACCCGGAAGUUGAAUCACGGGAGACAGAGCACCGGGUGCUAACGUCCGGACUCAAAAGGGAAACAACCCAGACCGCCGUUUAAGGUCCCAAAUACAGGCUAAGUGGAAAACGAAGUGUGAAGGCUAAGACAGUCAGGAAGUUGGCUUAGAAGCAGCCAUCCUUCAAAGAAAGCGUAAUAGCUCACUGAUCGAGUCCUCAUGCGCGGAAGAUGUAACGGGGCUAAGUCUGUAACCGAAAGCGCGGAUUUGUACGCAAGUGCAAGUGGUAGGGGAGCGUUCUGUAAGCCUGCGAAGGUGUGUGGUAACGCAUGCCGGAGGUAUCAGAAGUGCGAAUGCUGACAUGAGUAACGAUAAAGCGGGUGAAAAGCCCGCUCGCCGUAAGCCCAAGGUUUCCUGCUCUACGUUCAUCGGAGCAGGGUGAGUCGGCCCCUAAGGCCAGGCUGAGAAGCGUAGCUGAUGGGAAGCAGAUUAAGAUUUCUGCACCGACGUUAAGUGCGAAGGGGGGACGGAGUUUUGAGCAUCAUCCGGGUGUUGGAUGUCCCGGUUUGUGCGUGUAGGAGGCCGGCAGGCAAAUCCGCCGGCAUAUCUCCGAGACAAAGCAUCGAGCUGCAUUUUGCAGUGAAGUGAUGGGAUGAACUUCCAGGAAAAGCCUCUAAGCUAUAGCUUGACGUCGACCGUACCGUAAACCGACACAGGUGGGCGAGUUGAAUAUACUCAGGCGCUUGAGAGAACUCGGGAGAAGGAACUCGGCAAAUUGACACCGUAACUUCGGGAUAAGGUGUGCCUUUGUAGUGUGAAGAGUGAAACACUCCGAGCAUGAAGAGGUCACAGAGAAUAGGUGGCUGCAACUGUUUACUAAAAACACAGCACUCUGCAAAGACGAAAGUCGACGUAUAGGGUGUGAUGCCUGCCCGGUGCCGGAAGAUUAAGUGAUGGGGUGAGAGCUCCUGAUCGAAGUCCCGGUAAACGGCGGCCGUAACUAUAACGGUCCUAAGGUAGCGAAAUUCCUUGUC